RNAcentral lists this ribosomal RNA (1713 nucleotides) under Triticum aestivum (bread wheat). RNAcentral describes it as "partial small subunit ribosomal RNA". The record is from RNAcentral. Lineage: Eukaryota; Viridiplantae; Streptophyta; Magnoliopsida; Poales; Poaceae.
AUGGGAGCGGACCAAAGGCCAGAAGAACUCAUCAAUUACUAUGCCAUGAGUUCGUCGGCCGCGCGGAAUAUUGCAAGCGCUGCAGGGUUCUUUGCGUUGCUGUGGUCUACCGUCGUGCUCCUCGGUGGCUUCGUCAGCGUCCUGCCGGUCAAGGAUUUCUGGUUUCUCUCGCUACUGAGCUUUCUAAUGGCAUCCAGGAUGCUGCUGGAGAUGGAUGUCAAUACUGCUUGGGAUUAUGUGGUAGAUAUAGACAUCAUACGUUUGCGUAAUCAGCUUGAGGGGGGAGGCCGAAGGCCAUAUUGGACACAUAUCUUCAUUCUGUCCACAGGGCUCAUCGUGAAGACAACUGUCAUAAUCUGUGUAGCAUUGCCCAUAGUUUCGGUUGGGCCAUAUGUGGCCCUGGCACUCUCAGUGGCGCGUCUCGUACAAAGGGAUUACGGCGAUGUGGGUGGAGAUGCUGAAAACAAAGCAAAACUGACCGCAUCACUGAUCAUCUUCUAUGUUCUAGUUACCUUUCAGAGUUUAUCCGUCUUUUACUGGGUAUAUCUUGAUGGAUCUGAGCCGUGGAUGUCGGUGAGCAAACAAUCUGGAUUUGGGAUUUGGGGUCCCAAAAUUGUUAGGAAAUAUCAAAAAAACACCAUAGCCAUGUGUCUUAAGGAUGGGUUUUUGCCCGACAAUUGGAACCUGAUCACAUUUAGUGUUGGGUUGCUGGGGUCUGCAACUCAGGAUGCUGAUGGACGCCAUCUUUGGGGGGCAAGGGUGUUAGACACUUUUAUUGACAAAGGAAUACCUGUAAGGCAGGAGCUACUCACUUCCAGCCAAGCAAUUCAGAACCUGAUCGACAUGGUUAUUGGUCCGACAAGAACAGAUGGCCCUGAGAUCAGAGAGCGUGCCGCAAGGAUUUUAGCGGAUCUAGCCAGUGAGCUCCGUACAGCCCAGUUUCCGGAUGCAUUGAGAUGCAUAUGCUGCCUACUUGAAAGCUCUAAGCAAUAUAGUGAUCCAGAAGCAGUUGCUCAUCCGUUAGAGAAUUCUGAGCAAACUGAUAGGAAUUCCCACAAGCGGCCUUCAGUAGAAAGCUUCCAGCAUGGUCACCAACAAGAAAAUGACCACUUGUCAUUGGCGAUCAUCGAGCAAACUGACCAUAAGCAUCAACCAUCAGGUGAGUUGCCCAAGGGAAAAUCUUGGAUUCAGGCCAUAAUCCAUCUAAUGAAUAAGUCUAGCAUCCCCGAAUGGGAUAAAUAUUUUGGAGAUAAGUACCACUACUCCUAUGUAUCAAAAGGAACAAAAGAGCUAAUCUCUCAAGGCUUGGUGAUUCUUGAGAGGCUCACUCAAAAUGAAGAGAACUGCAUAGAGAUAAUCAAGCACCAAAGGCUUCUCUCUAAGAUCAUUUUACCGUUAAGCUACCAAGACUUCCUCAGCAAUAGAUGUGAUCAUACGUGGGUUGAGAUACUAAGCAGGUCACUCACAGUGGUCAGCAAGCUUAUCAGUGUUGGACCUACUGAUGAAACCACGAGGUUGUGCCAUGAUAUGUCGCGCAACACAGUAGCUAUCCGCAAUUUGAUGUGCAUUUUGGAGGUUGACAGCGAAGGUGCACGAGAACUACAUGGACAGGCCAUAGAAAUUCUUACGGAGCUAGCCUUUGUUGAUUCUUUAAGAAAACUAGAUUUUCAUGAAUCUACGAGCAUGACAGAAACGUUCGUCAAGACGCUGUGA